UACGUAGGGUGCAAGCGUUGUCCGGAAUUAUUGGGCGUAAAGCGCGCGUAGGCGGUUACUCAAGUCGGAUGUGAAAGCCCUCGGCUUAACUGAGGAAGUGCACCCGAAACUGAGUAGCUAGAGUACUAAAGAGGGUCGCGGAAUUCCCGGUGUAGAGGUGAAAUUCGUAGAUAUCGGGAGGAACACCGGUGGCGAAGGCGGCGACCUGGGUAGAUACUGACGCUGAGGCGCGAAAGCGUGGGGAGCAAACAGG
RNAcentral lists this ribosomal RNA (253 nucleotides) under uncultured bacterium. RNAcentral describes it as "partial 16S ribosomal RNA". It matches the Rfam family "Bacterial small subunit ribosomal RNA", at positions 524 to 776 of the family's 1533-position model. The record is from RNAcentral.